RNAcentral lists this ribosomal RNA (476 nucleotides) under uncultured bacterium. RNAcentral describes it as "bacterial SSU rRNA". It matches the Rfam family "Bacterial small subunit ribosomal RNA", at positions 21 to 518 of the family's 1533-position model. The record is from RNAcentral.
GGUUCAGGACGAACGCUGGCGGCAUGCUUCAUACAUGCAAGUCGAACGAUAAGGUCUCUUCGGAGAUACAUAAGUGGCGGACGGGUGAGUAAUAUGUAGGAAAUCUGCCCUAGAGAGGGGGACAACAGAGGGAAACUUCUGCUAAUACCCCAUAUGAGCGUACCUGAAAUGGUAUUCUUGAAAACUCCGGUGCUCUAGGAUGAGCCUGCAUCUGAUUAGCUUGUUGGCGGUGUAAUGGACCACCAAGGCGACGAUCAGUAGCUGGUUUGAGAGGAUGAUCAGCCACAAUGGGACUGAGACACGGCCCAUACUCCUACGGGAGGCAGCAGUAGGGAAUUUUGCGCAAUGGGCGAAAGCCUGACGCAGCAAUGCCGCGUGAACGUAGAAGCCCUUCGGGGUGUAAAGUUCUGUCAGUGGGGACGAAUUUUGACGGUACCCGCAGAGGAAGCACCGGCUAACUCCGUGCCAGCCGCCGC